AUGCCGCUACCGCCCCUGCUCGCGUCGACGUGGCGUUCGUUCUGCUGGGCCUCGGCCACUGAAGGGCGGGCCAAACGUCGCCUGCGGGGUCACAUCGGCCCGCAUCUCCAGGCCCACCACGCAGUGGAGCUCUGCGCCGCCGCCGCCGCCCGCACCAAGAUCCCUUCGCCGAUAGAGCAACAGCUUGCGCUACAAGCAGCGUCAGUCGGGAUCAAGGGGCGGGCCAAACUAGGGUUCUGCGACAACCAGGUACCAUCCUGCCAAUCUUUGCUUCAUCUGAAAUCCAUGCAUGAGGCCAGAUGCUUGAUUCUAAGGAUCUCCGCAGAAACUUGUCCCAUGCCCGGCCGGUCUUUGGGCGAUGUCAUGGAGCAGGAGAGGCCUAUUCUAACCAUUAGAGCGACACAGUUCUUCAUCACUUUCGGAAAUCUGAAGUUACAGUUGAAAAAAAUAACUAGCCCAGCCGUGAGUUAUGCAAUUCUGAGAUUGGAGAAGAAAAUUAUUAAAACUGAAAUAGAGCAAAAGAGAAGAUUACACUGUUUGCAAGGGUCACUAUCUGUCUAA
This 561-nucleotide ribosomal RNA is filed under the name Triticum aestivum (bread wheat). Its description in RNAcentral is "partial small subunit ribosomal RNA". Lineage: Eukaryota; Viridiplantae; Streptophyta; Magnoliopsida; Poales; Poaceae. The record is from RNAcentral.